Molecule: non-coding RNA, 23 nt
Filed under: Arabidopsis thaliana (thale cress)
Lineage: Eukaryota; Viridiplantae; Streptophyta; Magnoliopsida; Brassicales; Brassicaceae
Source: RNAcentral
GACGGAUCGCAUGGCCUCUGUGC